GUAGUCAUAUGCUUGUCUCAAAGAUUAAGCCAUGCAUGUCUAAGUAUAAGCAAUCUAUACAGUGAAACUGCGAAUGGCUCAUUAAAUCAGUUAUCGUUUAUUUGAUAGUACCUUACUACUUGGAUAACCGUGGUAAUUCUAGAGCUAAUACAUGCUAAAAACCCCGACUUCUGGAAGGGGUGUAUUUAUUAGAUAAAAAACCAAUGCCUUCGGGCUCCUUGGUGAUUCAUGAUAACUUUACGAAUCGCAUGGCCUUGUGCCGGCGAUGGUUCAUUCAAAUUUCUGCCCUAUCAACUUUCGAUGGUAGGAUAGUGGCCUACCAUGGUUUCAACGGGUAACGGGGAAU
RNAcentral lists this ribosomal RNA (346 nucleotides) under uncultured fungus. RNAcentral describes it as "SSU rRNA". It matches the Rfam family "Eukaryotic small subunit ribosomal RNA", at positions 20 to 370 of the family's 1831-position model. The record is from RNAcentral. Lineage: Eukaryota; Fungi.